GUCAUCCUUUUGUAUCUUAGUGCAUAAAUGGCAUGUAUCAUCGAUUCUUAAAUGUUCGGUGCUGCGGUGGUGUAAUGGUUAGCGCACUGAACUUACAAUGCAGAGGUUCGCCAGUUCGAUUCGGUGUCCCGCAACAAGGGGCAGUCUUCUUAACCCCCCACUCACCCCGCCUCUGUCCACCCAACAAUAUCCGAUGGGGACACCAAAGUCAAUCGGCAGAUCACGUCAUUUUAGCACGCAAAUAUCGCCUGAUGAAGCUGGACGCAAUGACAAGCGAAGCGGCAUUACUUGCGUUGUAAAUGCCCACGCCGGUGGCCUGAAGUAUGAACCAAUUGUCACGUUUCUGUUCACGUGGCAAACCUUGCUAAAUUACUGUGUCGGGUGGUGGUGGGUUGACGACGCAUUUUCUUUUUUUUAUUACGCGACUCUAACCCAAAAUGUGUUGUAUUAAUAUUAUUAUUAUGGGCAGAUCGUGUGUGGUGGGGUAAAAUGCGGGAACUCUCGCUUCUUCCAGAAUAUCUGGCCAGCUUGGAAGACGAACUCAAGAUGGGCCCUCAAUGUUUAGAUCUCGUGGAGCCAUUGCUGGCAGCAGCAUAGCAAUCAAACUGUUGCAGGUCUGCAACUGUACCUAUUUUUCACAUUUAAAAGUGUCAUUGUCGUUUGUUCCCAAAUGCGCAUGUGUCAACUCAGGGACAAGUGGUGACAACCGCAUAGAGAGGGUUCGAGAAGGGAAGGAGGCGGGUGGGGACGUGGUUCGAUGCUGUUUUGGCAGGGGAUUCGGGUCGUGGCUGGUUUCUGUCUCAUCGUCGUCGUUGCUGUAUCGUGACGCCGGGGUCCUAAGCCGCGUCAGAGGCUAAAUAAAAGAACCCUCUACAGUCUGAGUCCGGAGUCAUUACACAUGGAUGUAUGUAUGUAUGUUGAACUUCUUUCACACCGUACGCGGCCAACCGAGCUAAUAAGAGGUGCGAAUGUGUUUAAUGAUAGGUUACGGGUUCAUCCCUAGCCGAACCGAUGUCCUAAUAAAUGUAACAUUAUUUUGUAGGGAAUUAUAACAUUCACCGUCUUUGUCCAACAGAUGUUACGCUGGACUUGAUAAAUGCACAUGAGGUGCAGCCAGUCUUGGCUGAUACACCACGAGGCAUACUCAAAUAAGGGAGAAAGGAAGACGAUUACACAGUUCGUGAACAAGAUUAUCCAUAGCGUACAUGAAGACAAAUGUCACCUAAUAUACGGGUGAAUGUUAAGAGGAGGAAUAUUUGUGGCGAUUCGGGUGGCAGCUCCACCUCUUCGGAAAACUCACAUGGCGUUGCUUCACUUCACCACAGAGAAUACGUCCCACUGCAGGACAUUUUUGCAGGUCACUUUGGACACCACCAACGUUUCCACACAUGAGCAAAGCAUUGGCAAAAGGUGAACCUGCAAGACUUGCAACUUGGAUGUUUGUCGCGCGCUACAAUACACCGUGUGGCGGGGAUGUGAUUCUGUUUAACGCACGUUCGACAUUAGCACCGCAGACAGAUAUCUCUUUCAGGAAAAAACAAACAAACAUAAAGAUGCCUUGUUGAGCUCCCACUUAAUUUGGGUGCAAAUUGUUGCAUGCAAGCUCAAUAUAUAUGUAUACAAAUAAAAACAAAUUCUACAAAAUUUAAAGAUGCCUUGUUUUCGUCCUAUAAACGUCAACAUUUUUUUAAGUUUCAAACUGAAAUGGUGAGAUCAAUGCUGGUCAGAUCAAAAAACAAAAAUCCAUACUGACGAUGUUGUGUACGGCUCGCCAACUCAGUUGCCAUGACCGGGGGAUUCAGGUGUCCAUUCCACCCAGCUUACUGUCGUGCUGAUAGCGACGUAUUAAAAAAUGAUGAGACCAAGUGGGUGGGUGGCAAUACAUUCACUAAUUACAGACGGUAACGGGGAGGGACAUCGGCCAUCACUCUCCCUCCGGGGCGUGUCAUCCUGCCCGACACUUUCAUUUUUCUCGCUUAAUUCAAUAACACCCCAGUGUUAUUAAGUAUGGCAGAAUGAUAUCCCACUGUGAAAGCGGAAAUUAAUGCGAUUUGAGCAUAAUAAACAGUUUCCGUGAAUUUUCCACCCGCCGAGCUAUUUCCAAAAAAAAUAUAAAAGCCACGCUCUCCUCCGUUCGGUUUAAAUGUUUUAAGUUGAAAUGCACUCUGGGCUGUGACUGCAAUUAACGAGGAAAUAAAUACGUAAAUAAACAAACCUUAUUUCUAAAUAAUGAUGGCGCUGCCAGUGCGUUGCUACUGUAAAUGCACGCAUUGAGCAAUGGUUAUUAUCUCGAUUUCCUUUCAUUUGGCUUUAUUUGCUGGUUUGAGGAAGAAUGCAAAUGUUAAUAAUUUAUAAAAUUGAAUGACAAUGGCAGUUUCAAUGAAAUGUAGAUGCCCGGGCAUUGCAUUUUUUUUUAAUACUGUGAUGUGUAUAGACAACUUACCUCUUUCCCCCCCCAGCGAAUUUGAUUGUGCAAAAAUGCAUGACAUUCAAACAUUUUCGGUAAAUAGUGUAGAUUUAUUCAUACACAACUUUUCUCGUGUAUCUGCUAUGCAUACGAGCUGAUGUCAAUGCGAGUGUUUUAAGGAAUUACGUCACCAAAAAACGUAAUAUACAUACAUCAAAUCCACCAAUUUAAUAUGGAAAAUAUUAUUUAAAUUUACGUGCGAAAUAUUAUUGGGUGCCACGGUCGUGAGAUGUUAACUACCUCGC
This is a long non-coding RNA of Petromyzon marinus (sea lamprey), 2712 nucleotides long. RefSeq lists it as uncharacterized. Lineage: Eukaryota; Metazoa; Chordata; Hyperoartia; Petromyzontiformes; Petromyzontidae. The record is from RefSeq and is a predicted model, not a curated record.